GAUGAACGCUGGCGGCGUGCCUAAUACAUGCAAGUCGAGCGAACAGACGAGGAGCUUGCUCCGCUGACGUUAGCCGCGGACGGGUGAGUAACACGUGGAUAACCUACCUGUAAGACUGGGAUCACUUCGGGAAAGCGGAGCUAAUACCGGAGAAUAUAUUGAACCGCAUGGUUCAAUAGUGAGAGACGGUUUUGCGGGCACGUAUAGAGGGAUCUGCGCCGCAUUAGCGAGUUGGUGAGGUAACGGCCUACCAAGGGAACUAUGCGUUGCCGACCUGUGAGGGUGAUCGGCGACCUUGGAACGUAGACGCGGUCCUGACUCCUACGGGAGGGCGCAGUCGGGAAUCUUCCGCAGUGGGCGAAAGCCUGACGGAGUAACGGCGCGCGUGAGAUGAAGGUCUUCGGAUCGUAAAACUCUGUUAUUAGUGAUGAACAAAUGUGGAAGUAACUGUGCACGGCUUGACGGUACCUAGUCAGAAAGCCCCGGCUAACUACGUG
RNAcentral lists this ribosomal RNA (497 nucleotides) under uncultured bacterium. Its description in RNAcentral is "partial 16S ribosomal RNA". It matches the Rfam family "Bacterial small subunit ribosomal RNA", at positions 28 to 507 of the family's 1533-position model. The record is from RNAcentral.